Molecule: long non-coding RNA, 1078 nt
Organism: Cygnus olor (mute swan)
Lineage: Eukaryota; Metazoa; Chordata; Aves; Anseriformes; Anatidae
Exons: 2
Source: RefSeq, a predicted model, not a curated record
UUGCUGGCUCCAAGGUCGCCGGGAGCCCCCCGUGCUCAGGUGACCACCUGGGGACGAUGCAGUUUCACGGUGUGGGGACCCACUUUGAAGGCAACCUGCAGCAGUGGUUGGGCUCCACCACCUUAUAGCUGCGCUCUGAAGAGCUUUCUAGGGUGAAAACAUCUUGAUAUUUCCUAGUUAAGGAGCCCUGACACAAGUGAAAUGACCAGACAUGUGAAUAGGAAGCAUGGUGAUUAAGUACCUGAGAGAUGAAGAAUGCAAAGGAAAAGGCAUUCUGCAGCCAGAAAAAAUGAACUGUGUGAUUUCCCUCCGCACCUGGGGGAGCAGGGAAGGGCUGCACCUCCCCGAACUCCAGCCAACUCAGGCACGCUGUGCACGAAAACUGCAGCUAACUGAAUUCCAAGCUGGGAAAAACCUUCUGUAAAUGAGAGGAGAAAUUGUUCCAUGAGCUCUGCAUAUGCGCUCACGAGCUCCAGGCUGGGGGUGGUGGGGAGGAGGAGGAGAGCUCCCAGUCCUCCCCGCUGGCCGCUGCUGGCUGCACCCACCCAGCCGUGCAGCAGGACGGAGCUCCUUCCCCUGGAGACAGCAGGGGCUCUCCAGGACAAUGGGUUAUGCGACCCCCCCCCGUGUGCCACCCCAUGGCCCCUACACAGCAUCAUGGUGUUUCUAUGGCCACUGUCCCUGCUGUGGCCCUGGCAGAGCCUUGCCACCCACAGCUCCUCACACCCCUGCUGCCUUCAGCUUCUUUGUGACUACACAGGAAACACUUGCUCCCCCGUUCGUGUGCUGAGAAGGGGAGGCAAGAAGUUCAUACUCAAUAUCCUCACAUUCAUUAUUUGCCUGAUAAAACUUAUUGUUUGCAUAAUUAAUGUUUGAGACAAAAUAUCUUAUAAAACACAGUCCGCUGAACACCGUAAAAUGGACCAGUUUUCAUAGCACUUAAAAGCUAUGGCACGAGGCAAAUCCCACCUAGAAGAAGGGCGUGUGGCUGGGCCGCUUGUGUCACCCCACGGCUCUGAGAGGCCAUGCGAUCCCACACUGUCUGGGCGAGAUUUGUAACAGGAAGGGGGGAAGACAA